CCUACGGGGGGCAGCAGUGGGGAAUAUUGGACAAUGGGGGCAACCCUGAUCCAGCCAUGCCGCGUGUGUGAAGAAGGCCCUCGGGUUGUAAGGCACUUUCAGUGAGGAAGAACGCCUGGUGGUUAAUACCCAUCAGGAAAGACAUCACUCACAGAAGAAGCACCGGCUAACUCCGUGCCAGCAGCCGCGGUAAUACGGAGGGUGCGAGCGUUAAUCGGAAUUACUGGGCGUAAAGCGCGCGUAGGUGGCUUGAUAAGCCGGUUGUGAAAGCCCCGGGCUCAACCUGGGAACGGCAUCCGGAACUGUCAAGCUAGAGUGCAGGAGAGGAAGGUAGAAUUCCCGGUGUAGCGGUGAAAUGCGUAGAGAUCGGGAGGAAUACCAGUGGCGAAGGCGGCCUUCUGGACUGACACUGACACUGAGGUGCGAAAGCGUGGGUAGCAAACAGGAUUAGAUACCCUGGUAGUC
RNAcentral lists this ribosomal RNA (465 nucleotides) under Vreelandella stevensii. RNAcentral's name for it is "partial 16S ribosomal RNA". It matches the Rfam family "Bacterial small subunit ribosomal RNA", at positions 338 to 795 of the family's 1533-position model. The record is from RNAcentral. Lineage: Bacteria; Pseudomonadati; Pseudomonadota; Gammaproteobacteria; Oceanospirillales; Halomonadaceae.